Long non-coding RNA from Brachypodium distachyon (stiff brome), 4314 nucleotides. RefSeq lists it as uncharacterized. Lineage: Eukaryota; Viridiplantae; Streptophyta; Magnoliopsida; Poales; Poaceae. The transcript has 8 exons. The record is from RefSeq and is a predicted model, not a curated record.
UGAAUUGUAACUUGCGAAGACUUUGGUUCUGAUAGAAGAGUUUUCCUUGGAAUAAAAUUGUUAACAACCUUUUUCUAUAGCAUGCUAAUUUUGCCUCUUUCUCUUUCUUCCGUCUCACUUCCUCUCUCUCAAGGAAGACAAUGGGGGAUGCACGGGAGGACGUUGACCUUAGCCGGCCUCUUUCUGCGCCUUGUUCGCCUCCGCGCGUGGAUUGCAGGAUAUUAUUGGUGUACCCGCAGCGGGUCGUUCUGGUUCUUCUGCAGUUACGCAUGGAAGGCGAGGCAGGCCUCCGUCUCGUGGGCGUGGGCCCAGUGGUGGACGCCCCGGCCGGACUCUUCUCCUGCUGCUGUGUGUGGAGGGCCAUGGCGCGGGCGUUUGGGGCUAGAAGAUUUCUGGUGUUGCUGCAGUUGUUGGGAUAGCUUGCUUCCUCAGUUGCUUUGGAAUUUGAUUGAAAGGUGUUGUAAUUUGAAUUGAAGUGGUUCGUCCUGAUGGAAGAGUGGGUUUUCAUUGCUUUAUCUGUUUUAGUUUGAGUAUAUGCAGUCCUUCUGACAGGCAAACCAAGCACUUGAUUGUUGUGGGGCCAGCCGCACCUGAUUGGUUUCUCUGUCAGCGUCGUCCCUUUUAGAGGCGAGAUGCUCAUCUUCAGAUAGGAGAAAGGAAAUAUACUAAUGUAGAUUAUUCUAUGUUUAUAUUUACUUUGCUCACUCUCUCUGAAAUUACUCUGUUGUUUUAGCAACCAAUGCCAAAGUUUACAUAUUAAAACAUGGAUUGGCAUUGGACAAUUGUCAUGCUCAGUUGACGCAUUUUACCAUCUUCCUAUAUUUAGUUAUAUACGUGUUUUAUCUCGAUUCAUUAUACCUCGCAUUUCUUGCAGUAUGUGUAUGUAGUGUUUGGUAGAAUAAAUUGAGUAUGCAUAGAGAUCUCAAAAUUGAGUCUGUCGACCGAGGCCCCCACCGGUACAAAACCACCCCAAAUCGAGGAGGCUCUCCGGUCUCCAGUCGCGCAGCGUGCUGCUGCUCUCUCUUCUCACACGCAGCUGCUGGCCUGCUAGCUCACCUCUUUGUAAGACUAUUGCUUUUGUGGCCUUUGUACAAACAAAAUCACGGAGACUCCGCCAGGAGCGCGCCAUCCUCCUCCAGUACCGCCUCCAGACCGAGCGAGAAGGCGGCGCACAGCACCCAAGCGAGGAGAAGACGCAGCGGCAUAUCAAUACGAGCACAAUCCAACUGCUCGAGCUUGCCGUCCAGCUUGAAGAACUCUGCACAUACCUCAUCAGCAGUCUCUGCAGCGAGCUCCGCUCCGGGCACUCGCUGGCCGGUGCUGAAGCCAAUGCGCCAGCAGCUCUGUACAGGCUCCUGAAGCAACUUGAAGGUUACAAGGAAGAUUAUAUAGGGCCCUUAUUCUUGGUGUACAUGGAAGAUGUACACGACACGAGUGCAGGUUUAGGUGCAGCUGUGCAGGCAUGAUCGACCUGCUUAUGGGAACAAAGCGGGCAGAGUUGAGUUUUCGGGGUGUUGUCCAGAGAGCAUUGACAAUGAAAAGGAAGACAAAGACAGAGGACUGGGAAGAUACUUAAAAACAUCUUAUUUAGUUUGAUGUAUAAUUGGUAACAAGCUCCACUGCUUUGGGGAGGUUGGGAUUUAUAAUUUAACAAAGGAAUGAUAUUUAUUGACCCAGAAAUAGUUUUAGCACUAGGCUUUCGCAGGCCUGAUCGUUUCUUUGCUUCAGCCUUCGUAUUAGUAAAAAUACCCAAGGUUGUUGAGCCUCAAAUGUCGUGCAUCUGUUAAUUUGUUUAGGAAAAGAAGCUCAUAUGUUCCGGUCACUUGCUGAAAUGCCAACAUAGAGCUAUUUGUUCUUUACUUCCACGGUGUUAUUCAUACCAUGCUGUUAUUUUGGUUGUUACAGGUUUCCUUUUGCCUGUUAAAGUCUUGAUGCCAGAAUCAUUAGCAAUGCUCCGAAAGCUGGCCAAAGGAUUGUCAAAGAAGUUUCUUUAGCUCUUCAACAAUUUUCUGGGGACAUUAAGGAGGGCCCCAGCACAGGAGAGCAAAACUUACUGGAAGUAGAUUAUUUCUUUUCUUUAACAAUCAUGUCUGGAGACUCAUAUUGCAAAACUUUGCGUGGGAAUUAGUGCAGAAGGUAGAGACGUACCUAGGCAGCUAGAGGUGGUUGUUCAGGCUUGUGAUUCUUUGUAACCUAAUAUAACUUGAUUCCCGUGUAUCAUUUAUAUAGCUUAUCCUUGAGCUCUCAUGGACCAACUCUAAUUAGGCAGGAUUAGAGAUUCUGUGAACUUAGCUGAGGCAUGCAUCAAGUGUCCAUAGCUCUGACUUCAACUAUAAUCAUACUAGGAAGCUUCAGCGCGGCGCCACGCCGCGCCCGUGGGCGAUUAUUGCAAGAGGCAUGUGGUGUCAUUGUUAAAUUAUUUAUGUAUAUUACGGUAAUAGUAUUUCUUGCCAAGGAAUUAACCAUUUUUAAUGGUAGGUAAUUAUGAGCAUGAAAAAUAGUUAGUUAGAUGUAAAACUCAUUUAGGCAAUUAGCAAUCUACUCAGUCGAUGAAGAUAUUGUUCUAAUUUUUUUUUGCUAAAUUUUAUGUAGCACAUCCUUCAUCAAGAUGCUGUUACCUUUUAGUGUAUAUCCUUUGCUUUAGAUUCGAAAGUUAAAUUAAAAAGAAACUUGAACCUGUGUUUCUUCCGUGUUGUGAGAAACAUCAUUGGAGUUCACACAGCUAUGUCAAAUACAAUUUUUUUAGGGUAAGUUUAGUGGAAAUGUACGCAAGCAUGCUUAAGUUAACAUUUUGUAAUCAAUUAUCUGUUAUAGGCAACUGCUCUAGACAAUGUCGAGCGUGAGCAGUUUCUAUUGUAUUUUGGGAGGUCAACAAAUGAAUCACAUUAGUUAAUUAAAUGACUUAAAGUUAAAUAUGUCUAAUUUACUCUCAACCUUAUAACUUGUGUUGGCAAACUAUAGUAUAAACAAAGUUGCAUUGUGUUCCUGAAGUUUUCAAGUAACGCACUUUUGAAACUAUAUUUAGAGAAAAAAACGAAGGUGAAUUUGUUAAUAUAUAUGUUGGUUGGUAAAGAUAUUAACACCUAUAUGCAGCGCCAGCAUGGUCGCAGGAAGCAGGAAAACAAAUACUGGCCCAAGCUUUUGCCACGAAACCUACCGGGCUCUCUUUCGAGCGACCACCAGCGCAGGCGCAGCCUCUCCCGAGCCUCUCUGGAACCCUACAUUGUAGCCUCACCCCUGAAAUCCAGCCGCCGUCGGGCAGUUGACCAUAGAUCGCUGCCGUCGGGCAGGUGACCAUGGAUCGGCGCUCCUCUCCACCUCCCGCGACGGUCCGUCGCGGCCGCCACGUCUUCUCCCCGCGGCUCGGUCGCAACGGCGUUCACAGGAAGGAUCUGUUUUGGAGUAUGUUGGCGGCGCGCGGCGGCAUGAAAAUACGCUUGCCGGCUUGGAUGGCCACCGCGUUGGCACGCGGACUACUCCUCUUGUGAGGCGAGGAGGACGAUGCGCGGAAGUAUUGGACAUCCACUCCUUCCCGGAUCCAGUGGCUGCGAUUAGUGGUAUUGUCCGCGACCAUGGCGGCCCCCAGCGGUCAAGCUCGUCCGCGUGCGUGGCAACACCCGCGUACAUUCGUCGCCGGCGAGCAAUUCCAGCUUCGUGUGACACUUUUUUGAAGCAUGCUAUGCACAAAAGAAGGAAAGGCCGGUCUCCAACGGUUCGAGAGAGAAACAACCGGAUGGCACAUGGAGGAGAGGGAAUAUAGCUAGGUGGUCACUGGGAGUGAAACUAUUACCGGAGGAAACUGGUGCAGCCGGAUAUAGCAAUGCGUCCUCCCUCUCCGAUCCAGCGGCAGGGUUCAUGCCCACCAUCUUGCAGUAUAUGUAGGUACUGUAGGAAGCACCGGCGGGCCAUUCGUACAUCCAGUGGGGAGAAAAAAUAACAACCAUGUGGCCACCGGAAGAGAGAAGUCAUCCACCGGAAGAGAAGGUAGAGAGACCUACCAGGUCUGACCGGAAGACAUAUGAGCAAAAGAGAGAGGGAGAACCGGUUGGAACCGGUAUCCAAGAUGGAGGUGGUGGGGUCGGGAAGAUGGGGCCCAUGGACGGUCCUGCAGAGUCCAGAGCUUUUGUGCGCAGAAAUAAGCCACGUGUAGCACUCUUUUAGUGGAAGAUGUUGCUUUGAAGAGGUUCAAAUCAUUCAAGAACAAUGUGAAACAGGUCUCCAAGAUGGGGAAUGUGAAACAUCUUUUAGUGGAAGAUGUUGCUUUGAAGAGGUUCAAAUCAUUCAAGCACACGCGGCCUCCGUCCCAAAUUAUUU